Molecule: long non-coding RNA, 95 nt
Filed under: Macaca nemestrina (pig-tailed macaque)
Lineage: Eukaryota; Metazoa; Chordata; Mammalia; Primates; Cercopithecidae
Description: HOXA11 antisense RNA 1 conserved region 1 (ENSMNEG00000000111.1)
Rfam family: HOXA11 antisense RNA 1 conserved region 1
Source: RNAcentral
GUCACUCGGUGUUCUCACCGAAAGCACGUAAUCGCCGGUGUAACUUAUGUUCGCUGGGGGCCUCCCGGCGCGCGGAGAGGCUGGGGUGCCCCCCA